RNAcentral lists this ribosomal RNA (489 nucleotides) under uncultured bacterium. RNAcentral's name for it is "partial 16S ribosomal RNA". It matches the Rfam family "Bacterial small subunit ribosomal RNA", at positions 30 to 506 of the family's 1533-position model. The record is from RNAcentral.
AUUGAACGCUGGCGGCAGGCCUAACACAUGCAAGUCGAACGGUAACAGGAAGCAGCUUGCUGCUUCGCUGACGAGUGGCGGACGGGUGAGUAAUGUCUGGGAAGCUGCCUGAUGGAGGGGGAUAACUACUGGAAACGGUAGCUAAUACCGCAUAAUGUCGCAAGACCAAAGAGGGGGACCUUCGGGCCUCUUGCCAUCGGAUGUGCCCAGAUGGGAUUAGCUUGUUGGUGGGGUAACGGCUCACCAAGGCGACGAUCCCUAGCUGGUCUGAGAGGAUGACCAGCCACAAUGGAACUGAGACACGGUCCAGACUCCUACGGGAGGCAGCAGUGGGGAAUAUUGCACAAUGGGCGCAAGCCUGAUGCAGCCAUGCCGCGUGUAUGAAGAAGGCCUUCGGGUUGUAAAGUACUUUCAGCGGGGAGGAAGGGAGUAAAGUUAAUACCUUUGCUCAUUGACGUUACCCGCAGAAGAAGCACCGGCUAACUCCGU